This 326-nucleotide ribosomal RNA is filed under the name Blastocystis sp. Its description in RNAcentral is "SSU rRNA". It matches the Rfam family "Eukaryotic small subunit ribosomal RNA", at positions 141 to 487 of the family's 1831-position model. Lineage: Eukaryota; Bigyra; Opalinata; Blastocystidae. The record is from RNAcentral.
GGAUAACCGUAGUAAUUCUAGAGCUAAUACAUGUAUAAAGUCUUGUAGACUGCAUUUAUUAGAAUGAAAACCAUAGGUUUCGGCCUAUUCGUGAGUAAUAAUAACUAAUCAUAUCGUAUGCUUAAGUAACGAUGUGUCUUUCAGUUUCUGCCCUAUCAGCUUUCGAUGGUAGUGUAUUGGACUACCAUGGCAGUAACGGGUAACGAAAAUUGGGUUCGAUUUCGGAGAGGGAGCCUGAGAGAUGGCUACCACAUCCAAGGAAGGCAGCAGCCGCGCGAAUUAACCCAUCCUGACACAGGAAGGUAGUGACAAUAAAUCACAAUGCG